RNAcentral lists this ribosomal RNA (442 nucleotides) under uncultured bacterium. RNAcentral's name for it is "partial 16S ribosomal RNA". It matches the Rfam family "Bacterial small subunit ribosomal RNA", at positions 338 to 795 of the family's 1533-position model. The record is from RNAcentral.
CCUACGGGAGGCAGCAGUAGGGAAUCUUUCACAAUGGGCGAAAGCCUGAUGGAGCAACGCCGCGUGCAGGAUGAAGGCCCUCGGGUUGUAAACUGCUUUUAUAAGCGAGAAAGAUGAUGGUAACUUAUGAAUAAGGAUCGGCUAACUACGUGCCAGCAGCCGCGGUCAUACGUAGGAGCCGAGCAUUAUCCGGAGUGACUGGGUGUAAAGAGUUGCGUAGGUGGCAUAAUAAGUAGCUAGUGAAAUCUGGUGGCUCAACAAUUCAGACUAUUAGCUAAACUGUUAAGCUCGAGACCGUUAGAGGUAACUGGAAUUUCUAGUGUAGGGGUGAAAUCCGUAGAUAUUAGGAAGAACACCAAUGGCGUAGGCAGGUUGCUGGGACGGUUCUGACACUAAGGCACGAAAGCGUAGGGAGCAAACAGGAUUAGAUACCCGAGUAGUC